This 804-nucleotide ribosomal RNA is filed under the name uncultured bacterium. RNAcentral's name for it is "bacterial SSU rRNA". It matches the Rfam family "Bacterial small subunit ribosomal RNA", at positions 60 to 846 of the family's 1533-position model. The record is from RNAcentral.
AGUCGAACGCCAGCGAAAGGUGCUUGCACCUUUCAAGUGAGUGGCGAACGGCUGAGUAACACGUGGACAACCUGCCUCAAGGCUGGGGAUAACAUCUGGAAACAGAUGCUAAUACCGAAUAAAACUUAGUGUCGCAUGACACAAAGUUAAAAGGCGCUUCGGCGUCACCUAGAGAUGGAUCCGCGGUGCAUUAGUUAGUUGGUGGGGUAAAGGCCUACCAAGACAAUGAUGCAUAGCCGAGUUGAGAGACUGAUCGGCCACAUUGGGACUGAGACACGGCCCAAACUCCUACGGGAGGCUGCAGUAGGGAAUCUUCCACAAUGGGCGAAAGCCUGAUGGAGCAACGCCGCGUGUGUGAUGAAGGCUUUCGGGUCGUAAAGCACUGUUGUAUGGGAAGAACAGCUAGAAUAGGAAAUGAUUUUAGUUUGACGGUACCAUACCAGAAAGGGACGGCUAAAUACGUGCCAGCAGCCGCGGUAAUACGUAUGUCCCGAGCGUUAUCCGGAUUUAUUGGGCGUAAAGCGAGCGCAGACGGUUUAUUAAGUCUGAUGUGAAAGCCCGGAGCUCAACUCCGGAAUGGCAUUGGAAACUGGUUAACUUGAGUGCAGUAGAGGUAAGUGGAACUCCAUGUGUAGCGGUGGAAUGCGUAGAUAUAUGGAAGAACACCAGUGGCGAAGGCGGCUUACUGGACUGCAACUGACGUUGAGGCUCGAAAGUGUGGGUAGCAAACAGGAUUAGAUACCCUGGUAGUCCACACCGUAAACGAUGAACACUAGGUGUUAGGAGGUUUCCGCCUCUUAGUGC